This 72-nucleotide transfer RNA is filed under the name archaeon CG2_30_31_98. RNAcentral's name for it is "tRNA-Tyr". It matches the Rfam family "tRNA". Rfam says of the family: Transfer RNA (tRNA) molecules are approximately 80 nucleotides in length. Their secondary structure includes four short double-helical elements and three loops (D, anti-codon, and T loops). RNAcentral also lists the same sequence under 2 other names. The record is from RNAcentral.
CCCUUCCUAGCUCAACGGUAGAGCGCUUGGCUGUAGACCGAGAUGUUCCCGGUUCAAAUCUGGGGGAAGGGA